This 337-nucleotide unclassified non-coding RNA is filed under the name soil metagenome. RNAcentral describes it as "partial contains 5.8S ribosomal RNA, internal transcribed spacer 2, and large subunit ribosomal RNA". The stretch from base 1 to 120 matches the Rfam family "5.8S ribosomal RNA", at positions 35 to 154 of the family's 154-position model. The record is from RNAcentral.
GAUGAAGAACGUAGUGAAAUGCGAUAAGUAAUGUGAAUUGCAGAAUUCAGUGAAUCAUCGAAUCUUUGAACGCACAUUGCGCCCGCCAGCAUUCUGGCGGGCAUGCCUGUUCGAGCGUCAUUUCAACCCUCAAGCUCUGCUUGGUGUUGGGGCCCUACGGUUGACGUAGGCCCUUAAAGGUAGUGGCGGACCCUCUCGGAGCCUCCUUUGCGUAGUAACUAACGUCUCGCACUGGGACUCGGAGGGACUCUUGCCGUAAAACCCCCAAAUUUUUAAAGGUUGACCUCGGAUCAGGUAGGAAUACCCGCUGAACUUAAGCAUAUCAAUAAGCGGAGGA